GACGAACGCUGGCGGCGUGCUUAACACAUGCAAGUCGAACGGAAAGGCCCUGCUUGCAGGGUACUCGAGUGGCGAACGGGUGAGUAACACGUGAGUGAUCUGCCCUGCACUUUGGGAUAAGCCUUGGAAACUGGGUCUAAUACCGGAUAGGAGCUACUUUUUGUGUGUUGGUUGGAAAGUUUUUUGGGUGUAGGAUGAGCUCGCGGCCUAUCAGCUUGUUGGUGGGGUAAUGGCCUACCAAGCCGGCGAGGGGUAGCCGGCCUGAGAGGGUGGACGGCCGCACUGGGACUGAGAGGCGGCACAGGUGCCGACGAGUGGAAGAAGGGGGGAAGAUUGAACAAUGGGUGCAAGCCUGAUGCAGCGAGGCCGCGUGGGGGAUGACGGUCUUCGGGUUGAAAACAACUUUCGCGAGGGACGAAGCUUGUUGUGACGGUACCUAGAUAAGAAGCACCGGCUAACUACGUG
This 465-nucleotide ribosomal RNA is filed under the name uncultured bacterium. RNAcentral's name for it is "partial 16S ribosomal RNA". It matches the Rfam family "Bacterial small subunit ribosomal RNA", at positions 28 to 507 of the family's 1533-position model. The record is from RNAcentral.